GCCUUGCCAGCCCGCUCAGAAACUUAAAGGAAUUGACGGGGGCCCGCACAAGCGGAGGAGCAUGUGGUUUAAUUCGAUGAUACGCGAGGAACCUUACCUGGGCUCGAACGUAAGAUGACUGUAGGUGAAAGCUUACAUCUCUUCGGAGCAUUUUACGAGGUGCUGCAUGGUUGUCGUCAGCUCGUGCCGUGAGGUGUCGGGUUAAGUCCCAUAACGAGCGCAACCCCUACCUUUAGUUGCCAUCAGGUUAAGCUGGGGACUCUAAAGGAACUGCCUACGCAAGUAGUGAGGAAGGCGGGGAUGACGUCAAAUCAGCACGGCCCUUACGUCCAGGGCUACACACGUGCUACAAUGGCCGAUACAGAGGGCAGCUACCUGGUGACAGGAUGCAAAUCUCCAAAGUCGGUCUCAGUUCGGAUCGGAGUCUGCAACCCGACUCCGUGAAGUUGGAUUCGCUAGUAAUCGCGCAUCAGCCAUGGCGCGGUGAAUACGUUCCCGGGCCUU
Molecule: ribosomal RNA, 504 nt
Filed under: uncultured Sphingobacteriales bacterium
Lineage: Bacteria; Pseudomonadati; Bacteroidota; Sphingobacteriia; Sphingobacteriales
Description: bacterial SSU rRNA
Rfam family: Bacterial small subunit ribosomal RNA
Source: RNAcentral